UAGGCCCCAUUCUUACACUGGGGAUCAGAUUUCAACAUGAAGUUUGGAGGUGGUCAAACAAACCAAAUGAUAACAGAAAUACUCUGUCAAAGUCAGAGUUGACAAAAAUAAAAUGGACUAUAUUGUGAUUAGUUGUUGUUUGGGUACUAAGCUGGAGAAAAUUUCAGUUAAUUAACAGGUUGUAGUGUUUUGUGGCUUUGUUUCUUUUCUAUUCAUUACAACUCGUUUACCUGGUAGUUUUUGACUGAUAUGCUCAACUUGACUAAUUAUUUUUGAAACUGUGAAGAUGCAUCACAGUCAAUAUAAAUAUGUUCACUAUAAUGUAAGUCCUCUUUUCAUAGUAAAAUUGAUGUAAGAUGGCAUAGUCAUUCUUCAUUCAGUACAGUUUGCUUGAAGAUAUCUCUAUUAACAAGAGCAUUUUACCUUCGCCUAGAUUUCAGAUGCUUUGGUAAUUUGUACUGUGCUUAAAUAAAGCACAUCCUGGCAUGAAAAUGAAUGAGUGCCUCCUGGCACUUAGUGCGUGUAUUCCUCAGAGUUUAUGAUAAUUAGGAUGCUUGUUUAAUUGCUGUCCCUUUAUUUCCACUGGGUGGUGGGAGCUAAAGAGCAGCUUUCAAACCAUGUGUGUUACAUACAUAGGUAAUUUAUAAACUCAUUUUGCUGUUGUGAGCACAGGAAAAAAAAUCCUGAAUGUCAAUAAGCCAAUGUUGUAAUUAUUUUAUCCCCACCAUGACUGCUGAUGGUACCUUUGUUUUCGCUUCUUGGACAGGAAGGAUGGGCCUUUGAGUUACUACCCGUAAGGAUUGAGUCAUUUGAGCCAUGGUUCAUGGCUAAGGCCCCAAAACAGAAGACAGAUUAAAAAGACAAAACUAUACAAAUUUAUUUAAUACAAGUUUUACAUGACUUGGGGGGCCUUAAUAAGGAAAUGAAGACCCAGAGAAAGAGGUAAACCUGUGUAUUUUUUAUGCUUAGGUUUGAUGAAGAGUAGACAGCUGUGCAGAAGUAUGAAUGGAAAACUCUGAAUACUGUUAGUGUCUUUACUUCCUAAGAGAAUACAGCAAGUGGAAUGAAUAUUAACUUUGAAUCAGAAAAACUUGUGCUUUUAUCUUGACUUGGCAAUUGACUGACCAUGUAAUUCUGGCCAAGUGACUCUGAGAUGUAAAAAUUUCUUUUUUGCUAAUUAGCUCUAAUUUAUAAGGUGCAAGAAACCAAUUAGGUUAUAAUGUUCACUUUAUGGAAGUCAUUUUUGUUCACUAUGUGUUACAUUACUGCUAAAGUACCACAUAAUUAACCAUUUGUUCCCUUCUUGAUUCAGUGCUUUUUAUAAGAUCCACAAUAAAUUAACAGUGCCGAAUCCUGUAUUUCAGUGCAGAAAAGUAAAGUGAACUUUCUCCAGAAAAGCCAUUUAUAGGAACUGUGGAAUCUUAAAGAGUUGAGUUAUAUUAAAGACACAUUACAUUUGAAAUGAAUGCAUAUUCAAUCUUACGAACCUAGGGUAAUGCCCACUGUAAACACUAUUGGAAACCUUCAGUCAACAACUCUUUGAUGCCACUAAUAAACUGGCAGUAACAUGGAUUCAUUCAAAUUUGUUUCCAUCUUUUAUCAGUAUUUCACAAAUAUUGUGAAAUAAUAUUGUGAAAUAUUCACAAAUAUUGUGAAAUAAAACAAUCUCAGUAGCCAUAGGUGUGAUGUUUAUGAGCUGUAUUCCCCUAACCCAUGGCCCAAACUUCUACUUUAAUUCUUUAACAGAUAUUUUUCAAACUUAAUAUACAUUAAUGCUUUUCAAGUGAGCAGGGAAUUGACAUUUACUGUUUAUUAGAUGUCUUACAUGCAUUAUCUCAUUUAAUUUUGUAGCAACUCGAUGAGAUAGAUAUGUUAUACCUCCUUUGCAAAUAAGAAACUGCGUCUCAGAGUAUGCUAUAAUUUGAAUGUUUGUCCCCUCCAAAACUCAUAUUGAAACUUAAUCCACAUUGUGGCAGUACUGAGAAGUGGGGCCUUGAAGAAGUCAUUGGGUCACGACAGUGCUGCCUUCAUGAAUGGAUUCAUCCAUUUGUGGAUUAAUGGGUUACCAUCAAAGUGGGACUGGUGGCUUUAUAAGAAGAGGAAGAGAGACCUGAGCUAGCCUACCCAGCUCCCUCAUUAUAUGAUGCCCUGAGCCAUCUCAGGUCUCUGCAGGAAAUCCCCACAAGUAAGAAGGCCCUCACCAGAUGUGGCCCCUUGACCUUGUAUUUCUUAGCUUCUAUAACUGGGAGAAGUAAGUUUAUUUGACUUAUAAAUUACCCAGUUUCAAAUAUUCUGUUAUAAAUGAUGGAAAAUGAGCCAAGAUAAUUAGUACUGAGAAGUGGUAUGUUGCUGAUAAUAAAUAUGUAAAAUGCAGAAGCAGCUUUGGAACUGGGUAAUGGGCUGCAGCUACAAGAGUUUGAAGGAGCAGGCUAGAAAAUGCUUAUAUUCAGGGCAGGGCUUAGAAGAUAAGA
This 2471-nucleotide long non-coding RNA is filed under the name Papio anubis (olive baboon). Its description in RNAcentral is "lncRNA (ENSPANG00000049437.1)". The record is from RNAcentral. Lineage: Eukaryota; Metazoa; Chordata; Mammalia; Primates; Cercopithecidae.